This is an RNA transcript of Antechinus flavipes (yellow-footed antechinus), 2595 nucleotides long. RefSeq lists it as uncharacterized. The record is from RefSeq and is a predicted model, not a curated record. The transcript has 7 exons. Lineage: Eukaryota; Metazoa; Chordata; Mammalia; Dasyuromorphia; Dasyuridae.
UCAUGAUCAUGGCUAAACUGGCCAAGCUGCGUUGCAACUUCAUCUCCACCAUCCCGGCAUUGCUUUUCAUCAAAAGUAUCACCAUCCUGGGCGUCAUCUUCUUUAACCCCUCCUGGGCUUUCUUCUAUAACUAUGAAUACGAGGCCUUGGUGAUGGCCAACCCAUGGGUCAUAUGCGUGAGGAAGCAGUGUAAGGUCAUCAAGCACAUCGGACAAGCCGAAGCCUGUCGCGUGUGUCUGGUGGUAUCCCUGGUCCUGUCUAUGCCUCUGGGCAUAAGCGUGCUGGCCCACAUCUUGGGACUGCUGUCCAGCUCGCUGCCAGAGACCAUGCCCUUCUUCACGAGCAUCCUUUGUCUGGCAAACGGUUUGGUCAAGUUUCUCGCCUUCAUAUUCUUCCACCUCCUGUUGACUCAGCUCAAGUUCCUCCUUCGGCUGUUCGAUAUGUGGCUCAGCUGGCCCUCCUACUUGCUCCUGACGUCCUCGGUGAUCUACAUCGUGGUCGGGUCCAUCAUCUUCCAUUAUCACCUUCAUCUCCUCACUUCCCAGAAAAAGCCUUUAGAGAAGCUGGUGAUUUCCGAAAACACAAUCGUCACGAAGAGUUUGAAAAAUUUCUUAGCCUCCAGAAUGACUGAAAAAUCUGUCGGCACAAAGACCAAAACCACCCUCACCAGAGGUCUUGAUGUCUUCUUGCACCCAAAGUUCAAAAGAACUCGACCUUCAAGUCUCAGGAAGUCCCACUUCUUUAAAAGAGUUUCUAUUGCCAAGCUGUCUAACAGAUCCUGGAGCUCUGAGCAGCCUUGGGUCUCCCAAAACCUUAAAACCUCUUCAUAUCCCAUGGGCUUUAAGGUUCAGCCAAUCAUUAUGAAUCCCCUUCCCUCUGUGAUUUCCGAUGUUCCAAGUACUUCAAGUCACACAAAACUCUAAAGUCUUGCUCCCAAGAGCUCAGACACUUCUCCUCGUUGCUCUCUCCCCACGGUCACAAUUCUCCUCCUGGAGGAGUCCUCCGCGGAUCCUGAUGCUGCUGGAGGUGUCUAACCUUUGUCCUUUCCCUCAUAACUCCCCUCUCAAGCUCGAGCCAAGAUUUGCCCUCUGUGAGAUCCAUCUCUGGCCCUGUUGAGGACCUGGUGUAGACAGGAGCCUGGAUAUGUAUGGACUGUGGGGAAGCCAGAUGGAGCAGAAAAUGAAGAUGUGUGAAGACAGAAGGAUAAAAAAGAGAUGAAUGUCUAUUUCCUACAUUGUGUUGUCAUUAAAGAAAGCCUGAGACUUCCUCCCGAACCAGUGUUCCACCAUCUCCGUUAUGUUUCCUGACUCCAUCUCUAACUCCGCUCCCCACCUGUAUCCCUCCUCCAUCACAUCCCUAUCUUUAAGCCCAGUCCCAGUUUGAUCAUUAACUCCAACCUGAUGUCCACCCCCACUCUCUCCUCUAACCCAUAUUCUUAUCUUUCCCCUCAUGUCUAACUCCCAUUCCACUAUCCUCCCCAAGCCAUAGCCAACUCACCACACCCCCAAAUUCAUGCCUAUUUCCUACUGUUAGCUCCAUUUCUAACUCCGAGCCCCACAUAACCCCCCAUCCUCUGCGGUACACUGGGGUGGGGGUGGUGAUGUCAGCCUUGGGUAUCUUGGAAGGUUCUGUGACAGUUGAGGCCCUGGAGGGAGUGGGGAAGGUCAGAAAAGCCUGGAAGGGGGAGCACAACUGUUGUACCUGAGGAGAAAUCUGAGGGGACAAGGAGGGACCUGAAGGGAUAAGAAGAGAUCAAGACUUGGGAAGGAGCUAAAGAGAUGGGAGAUAACUAUGGCAGAAAUAAAAGAAACUGAAGACAAAUAUUAGGGCCUGGAUAAAGAGAGGAAGCAAAACCGGAUAAGGGCAGACCGAUGGAUAGUCCGGGCUCCCGGUCCUGGGCUGGGUUUUGCCUGCCUUGUACCCAGGAGCCUCUCAGCCUUUAGUGGAAAAUGAAGAAAAAGGGUUCAUUAAACCAAAAAGACGAAUUGGUGCCCUUCAAAAUGGCCCUGAACAUCCUUUGCCUUAUACUUCUCCUCCUCACCGUGUUCUUGCCCUACUGGCUGAAGAUACAAAAGUCUCAACAAGAGUGUAUCCACGUGGGCAUAUGGAAAUCCUGUGGGAAUCACAUAUGUGAGAACCUUGUGAAGUCAGUCUUAAUUAAGGCAGUUCAAGUGCUGAUGGGCUCAGCCAUUGUAACUGGCAUCUUGGCUCUUGUGAACAUUUUCCUGCUGCUGAUCAAUGUAGUGAAUGAUAGGACCUCCUUCUUCCUUUCCUCUGCCCUGUGCAGCUUUGUCACUGCCUUACUGGGCCUUUUUGGUCAAAGCAUCUUCAUGGUGACCACCAGCACUUCAGCGUUGGGACGCGUUGAUUUCCUUUAUUUUGACUGGGCCUUCUACCUAGGCUGGGGCACUUACAUCCUCUACCUCCUGAAUGGGUCCCUGAUACUGGUGAGGAAGCACUCCACCAGGGUGAAGCCAGCAAAGCAAUCUAGAGUCAUGUCGAUACAAGAGUGCAAGUCGGUGGCCGUGUGAAGACAGCCCAGCUCCCUUGUCCUGGGAUGGACCUCCUGCAGCUGUGUGUGUGUGUGUGUGUGUG